GUCUCCGUAGGUGAACCUGCGGAGGGAUCAUUACUGAGUUUUUAACUCUCCAAACCAUGUGAACUUACCACUGUUGCCUCGGUGGUUAGUGCUCUCCUUCGGGGGGGUGCUGCCGCCGGUGGACUACUAAACUCUUGUUAAUUUAUGGCAUUCUGAAUCAUAACUAAGAAAUAAGUUAAAACUUUCAACAACGGAUCUCUUGGUUCUGGCAUCGAUGAAGAACGCAGCGAAAUGCGAUAAGUAAUGUGAAUUGCAGAAUUCAGUGAAUCAUCGAAUCUUUGAACGCACAUUGCGCCCAUUAGUAUUCUAGUGGGCAUGCCUGUUCGAGCGUCAUUUCAACCCUUAAGCCUAGCUUAGCGUUGGGAGACUGCGCUAAACCGCAGCUCCUCAAAACCAGUGGCGGAGUCCUCUCGUACUCUGAGCGUAGUAAUUCUUUAUCUCGCUUCUGCAAGUACGGUUGACGACAGCCAUAAACCGCACCCUCUCGGGGGGCACUUUUUAAUGGUUGACCUCGGAUCAGGUAGGAAUACCCGCUGAACUUAAGCAUAUCA
This 551-nucleotide ribosomal RNA is filed under the name Microdochium trichocladiopsis. Its description in RNAcentral is "eukaryotic LSU rRNA". The stretch from base 180 to 333 matches the Rfam family "5.8S ribosomal RNA". The record is from RNAcentral. Lineage: Eukaryota; Fungi; Ascomycota; Sordariomycetes; Xylariales; Microdochiaceae.